CCUACGGGAGACAGCAGUGGGGAAUAUUGCGCAAUGGGCGAAAGCCUGACGCAGCGACGCCGCGUGAGGGAUGAAGGUCUUCGGAUCGUAAACCUCUGUCAGCAGGGAAGAACGGUCACUGUGCUAAUCAGCAGUGAAUUGACGGUACCUGCAAAGGAAGCACCGGCUAACUCCGUGCCAGCAGCCGCGGUAAUACGGAGGGUGCGAGCGUUAAUCGGAAUUACUGGGCGUAAAGCGCUCGUAGGCGGUAUGUCAAGUCAAGUGUGAAAUCCCCGCGCUCAACGUGGGAACUGCCUUUGAAACUGGCAAGCUGGAGUGUGUGAGAGGAUAGUGGAAUUCCAGGUGGAGGAGUGAAAUCCGUAGAGAUCUGGAGGAACAUCAGUGGCGAAGGCGACUAUCUGGCACAUAACUGACGCUGAGGAGCGAAAGCGUGGGGAGCAAACAGGAUUAGAUACCCCAGUAGUC
This 465-nucleotide ribosomal RNA is filed under the name uncultured bacterium. RNAcentral's name for it is "partial 16S ribosomal RNA". It matches the Rfam family "Bacterial small subunit ribosomal RNA", at positions 338 to 795 of the family's 1533-position model. The record is from RNAcentral.